This 279-nucleotide unclassified non-coding RNA is filed under the name plant metagenome. RNAcentral's name for it is "partial contains small subunit ribosomal RNA, internal transcribed spacer 1, and 5.8S ribosomal RNA". The record is from RNAcentral.
UUUCCGUAGGUGAACCUGCGGAAGGAUCAUUAUUGUAUAACCGAGGUGUGAGGGCUGUCGCUGAAUCGCCAGGUUGUGUACGACCGAGUGCCCUCAUUUACUCCUUUCUCACCUCUAUGUGCACCUCUGCGUCGGCCCCCCUUUGGACUGUUAGGAGGGGGGUUUACGCCUUCACUCUUAAUUUGUAUGCAGUGUAGAUGGUAAUUUUUUUCUUUGCGACUACGUCAUAAAUAAUACUACUAACAACGGCUCUCUUGGCUCUCGCAUCGUCGAAGAAAA